Molecule: non-coding RNA, 426 nt
Organism: Schizosaccharomyces pombe (fission yeast)
Lineage: Eukaryota; Fungi; Ascomycota; Schizosaccharomycetes; Schizosaccharomycetales; Schizosaccharomycetaceae
Source: the annotation of a GenBank genome assembly
UAGAAAAAAAAUUAAACAAAUGCCAAUGAAUUUAACAAUUAGAUCAGUUUACUUAAUAAAAGUUAAGUAUUGAACUUUCUGACCCUUAAAACAAUAAAGAAGGAUUAACAAUAAGGAUACGAAACAUUUCAAGAAAACGGUAACUUCUAAUCGCAAUUGCUGCAGUAUUAAAAUGUAGCAUGACGAGCGAAUCUCAAUCUUAAGAGUACACAACGAGGCAAAAUGAUUUUUUUAUGUUGCUAUCCCACACUUCUCAAUACCGUUGGUAACUCAUUAGUAAUAGUGUUAUUCUCACAAAUCUCCUUAGCGGUGAAAAUUCCAAUUCCAUGAUUCAUAAUCAAUUCUGCUAGGGGUAACUCAUCAGUGUCAUCUAAAUCAACGUGAUAAGGGAUGUAAUGCAGCAUAGUCAAAUUUUGAAGAUAACUG